This 1019-nucleotide long non-coding RNA is filed under the name Musa acuminata (dwarf banana). RNAcentral's name for it is "long non-coding RNA (MACU_LNC002406)". The record is from RNAcentral. Lineage: Eukaryota; Viridiplantae; Streptophyta; Magnoliopsida; Zingiberales; Musaceae.
GGCGACUGAAAAAAGUCAACGGCAUAGUGAAAGAAAAGCCAUCUCUUUUCUCUUUUUCUCUCCAUGAUGGUUGCCAUAUGAUCGGUGCAAACCACUAAACAUGUAAACGAGUGGUAAGUAGAAGGAGAUGGGGGGAGCACUGAGACUGCACAGUAACCCUCUCCUCCUGGUCAAAGCUUGGGCAUUAAUGAUGGGUUGGUGAAGACAGAGGGAACAAUCCACACACUACCUCCAUUAGGAACCCGAAAAAGGAAGGCAGCGGCUGUUGGCAUUCCAUUUGUGGAAUAUGCGGCUGUUUCCAUUAAAUUGUCUGACAAAGUGGGUAAAAAGAGUUAAGAUGAAGAAAAAAAAAAAAACAAUUAACAGGAUUUAAAUAUUAUUGAAAUAGUGUGAUUUCAUCUAAUGAAUAUUUCUCUCCCUCAGUUGAUAUUUAGCCCUUCAACUUGCCUUUAUGUAUUUUACUCAAUUUAAUAUAUUUCUAAAAAAUUAAGUGUGAAUCCAUAUUAACUGCACUCAAUUUUAAACUUAAGAAAUUAGCAUCUCUCAAUCCGAUUAAAAGAGAUUAGAAGAUGGGUCAUAUAAUUAUGAGUAUAUGAAGAACCAUAAUCUAUUAUAAUUUUAUCUAUGUUAAUUAUUUUUUUAGAAAAAUAAAAUAAUCAAAUAAAAAGAUAAUUAAAAUAGGAAGUAUAAUAAUCUAUCACCAGAUGGUUCGAGAGUGUGAGAGCAAAGCAAUAAAUGGCAGGAUCACAACAGUACCCACUGGGGACCACCAUUAAUUGCUGCGCUGACCAAUAGUUAAAUGGGUUUCCCCGUUGGGGCCAUUAAUGAGAGAGAGGCUCUCUGCAGUUUAAAUCAAAUACAAGAAGCGCUCCUCCUCUUCCUCGCGCCGCCCACAUAGAGAAGACGAGGCGAGGGAGGAGAGGAGGGAAGAUUAGGGUUUACUCUUGUGGGCAGCCGGGAGCGAGAUGGAGGUAGGCGAGGGUGAUGCCCCGGCGGAGGUGGAGGCGGAGGCGGAGGCG